UCCACUCUCGCUCCCCCUCAGAUCCACCUCACCCGCAGCCAAACCACGUCGCCAUGGCCGGCCUCAUCCUCGUGGCCACUGCCCUCCCCGCCGCCUGAGACUGCGUCGGGAGCACCGCCUCCAUCGUCUUUGUCGACUACGUGGACGCAUUCGAGCUCGGGACCCCUGCCUCGCGUGGAUCGAGCCAUUCCCUUCGCUGCAACGCGGUCGCCCUCGCCUCCACCCACGGCCGCCGCGGCCAUCACCGUCGAUCUCCACCACCGGCGCCUCCCGGCCACGCCGUAGCUCGUCCACGGCCUCCUCGGGGUGAUCCUCCGCCCGUCCCCCCUUUCUUCCCCUCUCUCCGACAUCGUUUGCUGCCGCCCAAGCUCCAGCCGUUGGCCGUGAUGCGUGCCCGCGUCUUCGCGCUCGCGACCCCCUGACCGCGCCCAGCCCCGCGUCCGCCGUGUCGCAGCCCUGUCCCGGCGCGCCUGCACCUUGCUGGCCCGUUUGCUGGCUCGCCCCGCCUCCGCCCGCCGUUGCCGCGUCCUGCCGCUGGUUGUCCCAGCCGCCCUGUGCGCCACCCCGCGCACCGCGUCCCUGGCCUCGCCCAGUCCCGUGUCCGCUGCGUCCCGGCGCGCAGGCUCGUCCGCCGGCUCGCCCGGCCGCGCGCCCCGCGACGCAGCCGCCCGUGGCUCUGCCACUGUUCUGCUGGUCCCUGUACUGCUGUUGCUUUUGCGUGUUGUCGUCGCCUCGCGUCCGCUCGCUGCUGCUCUAUUUCUGCUGCGCGCAACUGCUCCUGAUGUGUGCCGCUGAACUGCUACUACUCGUGGUGCUUGCUGCUGCUCUUAUCCUGCUAACUGCCGCUGCUAGCGUUGCCUUGCUGCUGCUACUCCCGCUUGCAAUUGCCGGCUGCUACUGGUGGUGGCUAUGGCCGUGUGUGCGUAGGUGUUCUGUAUGGCCGGCUUAAUUAGUUUAGGCUAAUUUAGAUACUUAGGUAAUCUUUGUUAGGUUAGUUGCUAGCCUAUGGCAGGUGGAGCCCACUUUUUAGUUAAGUUAGAAUUUAUUUAUUUUGUUUAGGUAUAGUCUAUGCCAUGUGGGCCAUGCUUUCCCUUUUGACCAGUCAAAUUGACUUGGUCAAUUCGGAUUAAAUAAAUGCAGAUACAAAAUAUUGAUUAAAACUUUGAUAAAUAACAUAAAAUAAACCGUUUAUCAAAUGAAAAUGUUUUGUACAUGAAAGUUGCUCAGAACGACGAGACGAAUCCGGAUACGCAGCCCGUUCGUCCGUCACACACCUCUAGCAUGCCGAACACGCAACUUUCCCCCUCCGGUACCUUUGCCCGAGAACGCGGAACCCCGGGGAUACUUUCCCGGAUGUUUCCCCCCUUCACCGGUAUCACCUAUUACCCCGUUAGGGCACACCGAACACCGCGUAUUGUCUUGUUACGCUUUGUGAUGCUUUGAUUGCUCUGUUAUUUAUUGUGUUCCCUCUCCGUUACUUCUUUCUGAUAGACCCCGAGACUGCCGGCAACCCCCAGUUCGACUACGGUGUUGGUGACUCGUCCUUCUUGCCAGAGCAACC
RNAcentral lists this long non-coding RNA (1561 nucleotides) under Triticum aestivum (bread wheat). Its description in RNAcentral is "long non-coding RNA (TAES_LNC012009)". Lineage: Eukaryota; Viridiplantae; Streptophyta; Magnoliopsida; Poales; Poaceae. The record is from RNAcentral.